Molecule: unclassified non-coding RNA, 391 nt
Filed under: soil metagenome
Description: partial contains 5.8S ribosomal RNA, internal transcribed spacer 2, and large subunit ribosomal RNA
Rfam family: 5.8S ribosomal RNA (bases 1-122)
Source: RNAcentral
GAUGAAGAACGUAGCGAAAUGCGAUACUUGGUGUGAAUUGCAGAAUCCCGUGAAUCAUCGAGUCUUUGAACGCAAGUUGCGCCCGAAGCCAUUAGGCCGAGGGCACGCCUGCCUGGGCGUCACACGUCGUUGCCCCCCCAUCUACUCCUUCGGGAUUGCGGGGGGCGGAUGAUGGCCUCCCGUGCGCCUCGUCGCGCGGUUGGCAUAAAUGCCAAGUCCUCGGCGACGCACGCCACGACAAUCGGUGGUUGCGAAACCUCGGUUGCCCGUCGUGUGCGGUCGUCGCGCAUCGAGGGCUCGAAAAAAUUGCCGGGCUCCGGCUCGGCUUUCAACGCGACCCCAGGUCAGGCGGGGUUACCCGCUGAAUUUAAGCAUAUCAAUAAGCGGAGGA